This is a small nucleolar RNA of Papaver somniferum (opium poppy), 71 nucleotides long. RefSeq annotates it as small nucleolar RNA snoR60. NCBI's taxonomy places the organism in Eukaryota, Viridiplantae, Streptophyta, Magnoliopsida, Ranunculales, Papaveraceae. The transcript has a single exon. The record is from RefSeq and is a predicted model, not a curated record.
UAACAUGUGAUUAAUAUUCUCGUAGUCUCCUUCAGACAUUAUGGGUGAUGUAAAAUUGAGUUUCUGGUGCA